Molecule: long non-coding RNA, 698 nt
Organism: Zeugodacus cucurbitae (melon fly)
Lineage: Eukaryota; Metazoa; Arthropoda; Insecta; Diptera; Tephritidae
Exons: 3
Source: RefSeq, a predicted model, not a curated record
UACAAUUAUGGCUUCUGUGCAUUGAAUUUUCUGUAAAGUUAACAGCGAAAUGAGCGAGUUUUCUGUGAACUUAACAGCAAACUAGUGGGUUGUACCAGUAUGACCCGCCAUACAACGUGUACGUUGUACGAGAUGCGCAUUCUAUAUUACUUCAUAUUCUCUGAUAUUAUCUUACUAAAAUUUCUUCAAUAAACUGCGAGAGUGGCUGAAUUGCAAAUGAUAAUAGCAUCCAAUUCGAACAAAUUUGUUAAAAUGGCUUGGCAAAAAAUUUUUACGGACGAUGUUGCCCAGAUAUACUCCUGGAAAGGAACGAAGACGAAAAAACCGGCAAGAGCACUUAGUGUGACGAUAGUAUUAAGGCAGGCAUACCAUCAAAAAUUCCCUACCGCUGCCACGGACAUGGAAUUCGAGCGAACUACAUUGAAUUUUUUACAACACGCCAGCAACAUAAUCACAAUCAAAAAAAUAAUUGAAUACGAAAGCAAAAAAAAUAUGUCGUCGGUAAUCGUAGAUUAAUUAGUUCUUAUUUUAUUGCGCGACAAUUUUAAAUUUAAUUUUGUAAGUUGUAAUUGGAUUAUUCUUAAGUUUUGCACUGAAAUUAACUUUUUACUCAUUUUGUUUCCUUAUCUUAAGAAUGUACGUUACCAUGUUAUUUAUUGUUUAAUAAAAUUUAUGUAUACAUAUAUGUAAGUGUACAU